GCUUUGAUAGUUUAAUCGGUUAAAACUUAGAUCUCAUAUGUCUAUAAUAAGAGUUCAAUUCUCUUUCAAAGCU
This 73-nucleotide transfer RNA is filed under the name Pleurocordyceps sinensis. Its description in RNAcentral is "tRNA-Met". It matches the Rfam family "tRNA". Rfam says of the family: Transfer RNA (tRNA) molecules are approximately 80 nucleotides in length. Their secondary structure includes four short double-helical elements and three loops (D, anti-codon, and T loops). The record is from RNAcentral. Lineage: Eukaryota; Fungi; Ascomycota; Sordariomycetes; Hypocreales; Polycephalomycetaceae.